GACGAACGCUGGCGGCGUGCUUAACACAUGCAAGUCGAACGGAAAGGCCCUGCUUUUGUGGGGUGCUCGAGUGGCGAACGGGUGAGUAACACGUGAGUAACCUGCCCUUGACUUUGGGAUAACUUCAGGAAACUGGGGCUAAUACCGGAUAGGAGCUCCUGCUGCAUGGUGGGGGUUGGAAAGUUUCGGCGGUUGGGGAUGGACUCGCGGCUUAUCAGCUUGUUGGUGGGGUAGUGGCUUACCAAGGCUUUGACGGGUAGCCGGCCUGAGAGGGUGACCGGCCACAUUGGGACUGAGAUACGGCCCAGACUCCUACGGGAGGCAGCAGUGGAGAAUAUUGCACAAUGGGCGGAAGCCUGAUGCAGCAACGCCGCGUGCGGGAUGACGGCCUUCGGGUUGUAAACCGCUUUCGCCUGUGACGAAGCGUGAGUGACGGUAAUGGGUAAAGGAGCACCGGCUAACUACGUG
RNAcentral lists this ribosomal RNA (468 nucleotides) under uncultured bacterium. RNAcentral describes it as "partial 16S ribosomal RNA". It matches the Rfam family "Bacterial small subunit ribosomal RNA", at positions 28 to 507 of the family's 1533-position model. The record is from RNAcentral.